UUUUAUGGAGAGUUUGAUCCUGGCUCAGGAUGAACGCUGGCGGCGUGCCUAAUACAUGCAAGUCGAGCGAACGGACGAGAAGCUUGCUUCUCUGAUGUUAGCGGCGGACGGGUGAGUAACACGUGGAUAACCUACCUAUAAGACUGGGAUAACUUCGGGAAACCGGAGCUAAUACCGGAUAAUAUUUUGAACCGCAUGGUUCAAAAGUGAAAGACGGUCUUGCUGUCACUUAUAGAUGGAUCCGCGCUGCAUUAGCUAGUUGGUAAGGUAACGGCUUACCAAGGCAACGAUGCAUAGCCGACCUGAGAGGGUGAUCGGCCACACUGGAACUGAGACACGGUCCAGACUCCUACGGGAGGCAGCAGUAGGGAAUCUUCCGCAAUGGGCGAAAGCCUGACGGAGCA
This 404-nucleotide ribosomal RNA is filed under the name Staphylococcus aureus. RNAcentral describes it as "bacterial SSU rRNA". It matches the Rfam family "Bacterial small subunit ribosomal RNA", at positions 1 to 393 of the family's 1533-position model. The record is from RNAcentral. Lineage: Bacteria; Bacillati; Bacillota; Bacilli; Caryophanales; Staphylococcaceae.